Molecule: ribosomal RNA, 289 nt
Filed under: uncultured bacterium
Lineage: Bacteria
Description: partial 16S ribosomal RNA
Rfam family: Bacterial small subunit ribosomal RNA
Source: RNAcentral
AACGAACGCUGGCGGCAGGCCUAACACAUGCAAGUCGAGCGAGAACGGUUCUUCGGAACUUAUUAGAGCGGCGCACGGGUGAGUAACGCGUGGGAAUGUACCCUUGGGUACGGAAUAGCUCCGGGAAACUGGAAUUAAUACCGUAUGAUGUCUUCGGACCAAAGAUUUAUCGCCCUUGGAUCAGCCCGCGUGACAUUAGCUUGUUGGUGGGGUAACGGCCUACCAAGGCAACGAUGUCUAGCUGGUCUGAGAGGAUGAUCAGCCACACUGGGACUGAGACACGGCCCAG